This is a long non-coding RNA of Solenopsis invicta (red fire ant), 766 nucleotides long. RefSeq lists it as uncharacterized. The transcript has 2 exons. The record is from RefSeq and is a predicted model, not a curated record. Lineage: Eukaryota; Metazoa; Arthropoda; Insecta; Hymenoptera; Formicidae.
CAUAAUUAUAAAGUAUAUAGUGAUUUAAAAGAUCCAUUUUUAAAGAAAUUCAUAAAAAAAGAAGUCUUUGAGUUCAAAAUUACUAUUAGAAAACAUGUAUCGCAAAACUAGGUUUUUGUGUAGAAAUAUCGUAUUUUCAUAAAGUUCCCUGCACUUUGGACAAUUUUAAAUUUUAUAUUCGAAUUCAGCAGAUCCAAAAACAUAAAAAUAUACCAAAUUCACAGGUUCCCCGUUAUAAGCCAAUUUUGGCCCUAAAGUGCCAUCUUUGAUUUGCGAUACUGCAAGUUUUUUUUCUGCUAGAUUUUGUUGUUUUAUAUUAAAACAUUAAGAAAGCUUGUCAAAUUGAUUAAAUUUAAAUAGUUUAAUAAGAGUAACUGUGGUUGUUGGUGUGUGAUAUUAUAAAAGUUUUAUUAUUUUAACAUAAAAGCUUUGGACGUUUUGACUCAGCUUUGAGUCAUCUUCAGCUCCAAUGUUUACUUUCUUGAACGCUGUUACAUAAAUGCUUUUAGGUAAAAUGCUUCCUGGCUGGACAAUUUUCAUCUGGUUAGUACGCCAGUGACUAUUUUCCCUAUAGAAAGAUUAAUUUACAGCUACCAGAGGAGUCUGCACAUUGUGUGCAAAAACGAAUCACAUUAUUUUAUUUAAAUUAUAAGAAUUAUUUAACAUAACUUGUAACAAUCAUCUACGUAGUGACUUGUCAAUUUGAAGGACCAAACUGUAAUCCUUUGAAGGAUUACAAUUAAAUAGUUCUCAUCAUAAAAAAAAA